AGUGAAUAGAUACCCAGGUAGUCCACGCUGUAAACGAUCAAUACUAGGUGUGCGGGGACUGACCCCCUGCGUGCCGGAGUUAAACACAAUAAGUAUUGCACCUGGGGAGUACGAUCGCAAGGUUGAAACUCAAAGGAAUUGACGGGGGCCCGCACAAGCGGUGGAUUAUGUGGUUUAAUUCGAAGCAACGCGAAGAACCUUACCAGGGCUUGACAUCCUACUAAUGAAGCAGAGAUGCAUUAAGUGCCCUUCGGGGAAAGUAGAGACAGGUGGUGCAUGGUUGUCGUCAGCUCGUGUCGUGAGAUGUUGGGUUAAGUCCCGCAACGAGCGCAACCCCUAUUGUUAGUUGCUACGCAAGAGCACUCUAGCGAGACUGCCGUUGACAAACGGAGGAAGGUGGGGACGACGUCAAAUCAUCAUGCCCCUUAUGUCCUGGGCCACACACGUAAUACAAUGGCGGUCAACAGAGGGAUGCUAAGCCGUGAGGUGGAGCGAA
This 496-nucleotide ribosomal RNA is filed under the name uncultured bacterium. RNAcentral describes it as "bacterial SSU rRNA". It matches the Rfam family "Bacterial small subunit ribosomal RNA", at positions 773 to 1271 of the family's 1533-position model. The record is from RNAcentral.